AACGAACGCUGGCGGCAUGCCUAACACAUGCAAGUCGAACGAGACCUUCGGGUCUAGUGGCGCACGGGUGCGUAACGCGUGGGAACCUGCCCUUAGGUUCGGAAUAACUCCCCGAAAGGGGUGCUAAUACCGGAUAAUGUCUUCGGACCAAAGAUUUAUCGCCCUUGGAUGGGCCCGCGUUGGAUGAGCUAGUUGGUAGGGUAAAAGCCUACCAAGGCGACGAUCCAUAGCUGGUCUGAGAGGAUGAUCAGCCACACUGGGACUGAGACACGGCCCAGACUCCUACGGGAGGCAGCAGUGGGGAAUAUUGGACAAUGGGCGAAAGCCUGAUCCCGCAAUGCCGCGUGAGUGAUGAAGGCCUUAGGGUUGUAAAGCUCUUUUACCCGGGAUGAUACUGACAGUACCGGGAGAAUAAGCGCCGGCUAACUCCGUG
This 433-nucleotide ribosomal RNA is filed under the name uncultured bacterium. Its description in RNAcentral is "partial 16S ribosomal RNA". It matches the Rfam family "Bacterial small subunit ribosomal RNA", at positions 29 to 507 of the family's 1533-position model. The record is from RNAcentral.